AAAAUCCUGAAGUGUUAGUCUAAAGUCGUUAUGUUUUGACCGAACAUACUUUGAUAGGGAGUCCGAUUGUUCUCACUCGGAGCGCAUGCCCGCAUUCGGGACGCGCAAACUGUGGGACAGGACACCCACCUGCUUAUAACUGCGGGUUUCAAAUCUGCGGCUUUGCAACGGCACGUUCGGGAUUUUU
Molecule: non-coding RNA, 187 nt
Organism: Sporolactobacillus inulinus CASD
Lineage: Bacteria; Bacillati; Bacillota; Bacilli; Caryophanales; Sporolactobacillaceae
Rfam family: 6S / SsrS RNA
About the family: E. coli 6S RNA was the first non coding RNA to be sequenced, but its function was unknown until recently. It consists of 184 nucleotides that fold into an extended hairpin structure with a large single-stranded internal bulge. The 6S RNA specifically associates with RNA polymerase holoenzyme containing the sigma70 specificity factor.
Source: Rfam